CUCACUGCUUCUCUAAUGGAGAACCACCACCUGAUAGAGCAAAAGCCUUGGUCGUUGGCCACAUCUGCGUGUUGCUAAGAAUUUGCUGAUCAGUUUAAUUUAUUAAAACAAACUGUUCUACUAAAAAUCAGAAUCAAACAAAACACUACUCUAGGGAAAUAAAACCUCUCACACCGAUGUCUGCAAUAUGCUGUUCCUGUCAGGGGUCAGGCUCAGUGACAUGGUGACCCUCAGUCACACGGGUCAGGUCAGGCUGCUCAAACCCAGCCUGAGGCAGCUGCACUCCUUUCCCUCCCCACGGUGCAGUGCUUUAGAAAUUAAGGUUUCUGAUUGUGAUGUGGGGAAUGACAAUUCUAUGAGUCAACAAAGGCCUGGAAGUAUAAACAGGAUGGGAAAUGGUCUUGCCAGUGCUGUCUCCUUUUCCAAAAGAAUGAGACCUCCUAGUAGACCAUCUCAAUAGCAUGUCCUGGAAAGCAGCACUUCCCGACUUUAGAUUUUACACUGAGAACAUCAUCACUACAGAUAAGUUUGCAUUUACUAGAACUUUACAUACAGAAUCAGAAGUAUGAGGAUCCUUCAAAAAGUUCAUGGAAGAACAGAAUUAAAAGUUAAUAGCUGAACCGGAAGCAGGCAGAUACUGGAAACUCUUGGAUAUACCAUGAAUCCAUCAUCUGCAACUAUUUUGCCUAUGGGUAAUGGAGCAAUCAUAGAGCAACCACCUAUUAUGGGGGAAGCUAAACUGCUUACAACAAUAUUCACACAGAAGGGUCACAUAUUUAACAGGCAAGUAGCUUUUCUCUUUGGAAUAGGACCCAGCAGGGUACUGGCUUAUGGUAACCUCAAGGAGAACCACAUCACAAAGCCAGACCAGAGUGAGUCAAUUUACAGUUUGAAUAAACUUAGAAGGCAGAGUCAAAACUGUUAUUGAUUUUUCUCAACGGAGAAAAUAACGAAAAAGUUCUAAAUGCUUUCAAAGAUUUACUUUAAUUCUGAAAAAAGGGGAAGCUUCUUUAAACUUCAUGUUUUUCAUUCAUAUGGUAUAUAUUUUAAAACUAAAUUUUAGGUUAAAAUUUCAUCUUUGUAUUUUGGAUGUAUUAUCCUUCUGAAUUUGGUUCAACUAUUUUAAGAAAAGGAAG
This is a non-coding RNA of Oryctolagus cuniculus (rabbit), 1136 nucleotides long. Lineage: Eukaryota; Metazoa; Chordata; Mammalia; Lagomorpha; Leporidae. The record is from RefSeq and is a predicted model, not a curated record.